Molecule: ribosomal RNA, 264 nt
Filed under: uncultured prokaryote
Description: partial 16S ribosomal RNA
Rfam family: Bacterial small subunit ribosomal RNA
Source: RNAcentral
UACGUAGGGGCGAGCGUUGUCCGGAAUGAUUGGGCGUAAAGGGCGCGCAGGCGGCCUGUCAAGUCAGUAGUGGAAGUCCAUUUUUCAAGGAUGGAAGUGCUAUAGAAACUGAUGGGCUUGAGUGCAGGAGAGGUUAUCGGAAUUCCCGGUGUGGCGGUGAAAUGCGUAGAGAUCGGGAGGAACACCAGUGGCGAAGGCGGGUAACUGGACUGCAACUGACGCUGAGGCGCGAAAGUGUGGGGAGCAAACAGGAUUAGAUACCCU